This is a long non-coding RNA of Astatotilapia calliptera (eastern happy), 1052 nucleotides long. The record is from Ensembl. NCBI's taxonomy places the organism in Eukaryota, Metazoa, Chordata, Actinopteri, Cichliformes, Cichlidae.
UUUCCUCUGGCUUCGACUUGACAUUUCACAUUCUUUCUGACCUUGGCGAGCGGCAAGGUUUCAGAGGCCCUCAUCGUGCACCGAUUCCAGGCGUUUGCGGCGAGAGUGAGAAGUAGGUCAAGUGGCUGACACUGUUUCAGAGCGCAAUAGGGGGAUACUUUAAGUCUAUUGAAGCAGUUAAGAUAAGCCAUCGGUAUGGGAUUCUCGCUUUCGCUUCCAGGCUUGUACCUGCUUGAGAGCAGAGAAGUGGAUGAGCUCGGGGAGGGUGAACCUCAUCAGUAUUGUAAAGGCUAUUGUUUCCCCAUCACACCCUGACAGGAAGUGGACUUAAGUGCAAAAAUGUAUUAUCAUCAUUUGCUAUUUAGAGUUUAGAGCACAGGUAUCAAAUUAAUUUUACAUCACGGACCACAUACACGUUACUUUGAUCUUAUGUGGGCCGUACCAGUGAAACUCCCCUUUCUGUCAGUGUGCAGAAGCUUAACUACACAUUUAAACCCAGAGAGAUUUUAAUAUAAAAAAAAAGAAAGUCAAAUUUCAACAGCAUUUCUAAAUGAUAAAGAAAUGCUGCUGCAGUAAAUGUAUGAAAUCUGUCAGCACAACUCUUUGGGCUUAAAUUCUGUGUAGCAGUAAUGUUUAAAAUGAUAGAAAUCUAUUAUUUAUUUACUUUGGGGUAGUAUGAAUGGUAAUGGGGAAGGUCUGGAUCAGUAAAAAAAAAAAAAAAAAAAAAAAAAAAAAAAAAGGCUUCAAAACUUGUAAAAGGACGGUCAAAAGUCAUAUAUUCAUGUCCUCCUACACAUUUUCCAUCAAGUGGGCCGGAUUGGAGUCUUGGGCGGCCGAUUCUUGCCCCUGGGACUUAUGUUUGCCAACCCUGAUUUAGACAGAUUUUCCUGACCUUUAAUAAUAAAGACAAGUUAUUUCUCCAAACGAGCUACUGUGUCUUAAUUUAAACAUUUUUAAUGCAUAAAUGUCCCCCCUUUUUUUUUUUAAACCACAAGUUGCACGUGGUGGCGUCGAACGGAAAAGGGGGUAAUAUUAGAAGCGGCCAAUGCACC